RNAcentral lists this unclassified non-coding RNA (236 nucleotides) under Hevea brasiliensis (rubber tree). The record is from RNAcentral. Lineage: Eukaryota; Viridiplantae; Streptophyta; Magnoliopsida; Malpighiales; Euphorbiaceae.
GGUUUAGUCAUCAAACCAAACACCUGAGCAGGAGAAAAUGAUUACAAAAGAAUAAAGAACUCAAAUUUAAUGAAAAUGAACUGGCAAGCAACUGCACAUUCACAUGUGCACACAAAUAAAAAUUUGUAUGGCUGAUCAUCUUUUUUUUUUUUAUAAUCCAAAAUAUGUAAUGCUAUGUUUGGAUACUAAAAUUUGAAAUGAAGGGAUUUGCUUUUGAUUUUAAUAUAAAUUAUUGA